CUCUGUGACUCCUACGGGAGGCAGCAGUGGGAAUAUUGCACAAUGGGCGCAAGCCUGAUGGCAGCCAUGCCGCGUGUGUGAAGAAGGCCUUCGGGUUGUAAAGCACUUUCAGUUGUGAGGAAGGUGGUGUCGUUAAUAGCGGCAUCAUUUGACGUUAGCAACAGAAGAAGCACCGGCUAACUCCGUGCCAGCAGCCGCGGUAAUACGGAGGGUGCGAGCGUUAAUCGGAAUUACUGGGCGUAAAGCGCAUGCAGGUGGUUUGUUAAGUCAGAUGUGAAAGCCCGGGGCUCAACCUCGGAACUGCAUUUGAAACUGGCAGACUAGAGUACUGUAGAGGGGGUAGAAUUUCAGGUGUAGCGGUGAAAUGCGUAGAGAUCUGAAGGAAUACCGGUGGCGAAGGCGGCCCCCUGGACAGAUACUGACACUCAGAUGCGAAAGCGUGGGGAGCAAACAGGAUUAGAUACCCUGGUAG
RNAcentral lists this ribosomal RNA (472 nucleotides) under uncultured bacterium. RNAcentral's name for it is "bacterial SSU rRNA". It matches the Rfam family "Bacterial small subunit ribosomal RNA", at positions 328 to 793 of the family's 1533-position model. The record is from RNAcentral.